UCAUCGGCCGCCGCACUUUCGCGACUGAGACGAAACGACACUCACCUUUACUUAAUGGAAGGCUUCGCUUACAUCCUGAACUUAAAGGAACUACAGAAAGGGACAGAAACUGCUUUCUUUUUAAACAAUGCGCUGAAAGGUUACUAGUGACAGGAGGCUUAGUGAAGCGCGUGAUGUGAACGGCCACGCUGCAAGGCUGGAGAGAAAAGAGGAGGGAGUGAAGUUGCACCCUGAUCGCGAAUCCUCGGCCUUUUAUCAGGGGCGCCGCCACUCGGGGUCCGACCAUUCGCCUCCAACGAGAGGACAGCGAAUCUGCUGUCGUGUGCAGUCCGCAGCAACCACAGGUAUAUGAAAUAAUGUCACUACAUCGGAGUAGCGCCUCUGCUUGCACACCUAUGGGAGUCUGCAGCUGUGACACGUAGAAGUUGGCCACAUCCAGGUCGGUGGCUCCAAAGUGGGCGGCCACACGCACACCCUCGUGCAACGUGAAGCUCACCUGAUGACCCACCAUGGCCAGCAGGCUGCGGAGGUAACGCUCCCGAAGGGCGGCUCGUGCCCGCUGCUCCUGGGAUUCCAGGGAUUCUUGAGCUAUGGGACACUCCUGGAUUUCAGGAACCUCUGGCCUCAAGGGGGCUCUGCGUCCGUCAGGGGCAAAGCCACGGCAGAAGCCAUCAGGGCCCCGGGGCAGCCGGAGCACAGGCACGGGAAUGUUCACUGGAGUUUGCAUUGUCUUGGCUGUUGAGUGAAGAAAAAAAGCAGGAAGUCAUUACAUGGUAAGCAUGGGGCUAAUGGAGGAGGCAGGAGUGGAAGCAGAGGCUGGUCUACCAGGCAGCUCCACUUCACCUGUCCCAGACCGAUCCACCCUCCUCAAAUCUGUGCCAUCGUCCCCCAGUGGCUUGGAUCAGAAACAAAAGUGUCACAUCCACAAAAACAUGAGCCCCAUGAAGGCAAGGACCUUUGUCUGCUUUUAUAAUGGCUUUAUCUCAACUUAUAGGCAAUAAAUAUUUGCCAAAAGAUGAACCUGGCCAGGCAUGGUGG
This 1038-nucleotide long non-coding RNA is filed under the name Pan troglodytes (chimpanzee). RNAcentral's name for it is "long non-coding RNA NONPTRT008551". Lineage: Eukaryota; Metazoa; Chordata; Mammalia; Primates; Hominidae. The record is from RNAcentral.